GAUGAAGAACGUAGCGAAAUGCGUUACGUAAUGUGAAUUGCAGAAUUCAGUGAAUCAUCGAGUCUUUGAACGCACAUUGCGCCCUCUGGUAUUCCGGAGGGCAUGCCUGUCCGAGCGUCAUUGCUGCCCUCAAGCACGGCUUGUGUGUUGGGCUCCGUCCCCCGAUCCCGGGGGACGGGCCCGAAAGGCAGCGGCGGCACCGCGUCCGGUCCUCGAGCGUAUGGGGCUUUGUCACCCGCUCUGUAGGCCCGGCCGGCGCUUGCCGAUCAACCAAAUUUUUAUCCAGGUUGACCUCGGAUCAGGUAGGGAUACCCGCUGAACUUAAGCAUAUCAAUAAGCGGAGGA
RNAcentral lists this unclassified non-coding RNA (345 nucleotides) under soil metagenome. RNAcentral describes it as "partial contains 5.8S ribosomal RNA, internal transcribed spacer 2, and large subunit ribosomal RNA". The stretch from base 1 to 120 matches the Rfam family "5.8S ribosomal RNA", at positions 35 to 154 of the family's 154-position model. The record is from RNAcentral.